This is a non-coding RNA of Pelobates cultripes (western spadefoot toad), 180 nucleotides long. The record is from the annotation of a GenBank genome assembly. Lineage: Eukaryota; Metazoa; Chordata; Amphibia; Anura; Pelobatidae.
GCUCUGCAGAGGGGGCCCGCAGCACACUCUCACUUCCCUUCCUACAGCUCCCCUGUCUAACUCUUGCUGCCUGCCAUGGUAACCCAAGGUAACGCUCUGAUGGCCACAGGACUCACAAGAUUCAGACAGGGGAGCUGCUGGGAAGAGAAGUUAGAGUGUGUUGCGGGCCCCCUCUGUAAC